UUCUCCAAGUAGCUGAAGAAUAUAAGCAUCAAGAUAAUCUUGGUAUGGUGAUAUAACUACAGUAGUAAAAGGUACUAAUAUAGUAAUUACUAGAAAUGAUGGGGAAAACGGGCAGAAUAGCUGGGUAAAUCCUUUCUUUUGGACGAUGCGUGGAAUUUCUUCUUGAGAAAUUAGAAUACUUGUUCUUUACACCACUUCAGACUUCUUUAAGGCUUGCUUUUUUCAUUUGAAAUAGUCUUUUUAAAGAAUCACAGAGGGGAAAAAAUAGCAAAUGAUGUCAAAGUCAAGUGAAAUGCACAAUCCUUUGUGUGUCUACCAGUAUAUUCUAAUUACUUGAUCUUCAAAAAUAAAAAAUAAAAAAUAAAUGAUGUUGUAAUAUGAACAACUGGAAGAGAGAAUCAUCAGAAGAAACAUAAAGGCAAAAGAAACAUGGGCUGCAUUAAAAAAGCAUCUAUGUUUGAUAAAGAAGCUUACAAAAGAAAACAACUUCUUCCGGGAAUGUAAAGGUUUUAGCUCUGGAGCAGAAAGUUGGAUAUAGUUGCGGUAGGUGAAAACACAGAAAUGCAAAAGGAGAGUUCUCCUAGAGCUCAUGUAGCGGUUAUGGUGGGGUGAACGAACCCUGCUUUGCUUUUGGCUCAAAGCUUGCUUUCGCAGGCAUUUCUGGGGGUGGUGCAGUCACCAACCCUGGGGGUGUUCAAGAAACAUUGAGCUUUUGUACCUAGGGGUGUGGAGUCAUGGGACAUAUUGGUGAUAGGUGGAUGGUUGGAGCCCUUGGCGGUCAUUUCCAGCCUUGCUGACUCCCUGAGUCCUGUUUCUUAGCUCCAGAAUUCCACUGUCUCCUUCCCAAGGUUCAACAGGUAUUUGUCGACGGGGUGUAACGCCUCUCAUGCACGAAGAAGACAUUUGGGAAUUGGGAUGGAUUUUAUUGACAUGAUUGGUGACAGGGUGACAAUGGUGACAAACCCCUUAUGCUUGUGCAGACCCAAUGGUGUCCCGAUGAAGGGCCGCAGUGUGUUCUGGGGUCAGAAAAGAGCGGGCUUAGGUGGACGGAUGCCAAGGGCAGUCGCCAGCUCUCCAGGCAGGACCCAGCGAAGGAUGUCCUUCUGCAGCACAAACAGGGUGAAGAAGACAAGCUGCAGCAGGCCCAAGAACAGCAGAAACGCCCUGCGGAACAGAAGAAGGUCCAGUCAGAUUCCGGGGGCACGUUUGUCACAGCACUUUCCAUCCAGCCCUGGCAAAUGGCCCGUGGACAUGUGCCAUACAGGGAGCAAGGGAAUCUGUCGUAGGUCUGCGCAGGGCUGCCAAGAUCGCCACCCCACCUGCUCUCCCACCCAGGACCCUAAGCAAUAGUGAAGCAUUUUAUCUCCAAACAGUCAAAAGCUGCCUGAUGGUCUCUGGACCCCAGGGCGACUCACCGCAGCCAGGAAGUUACAAGUGGGUGCUUCUGUGCUGCCGCCUGCUCAUCCUAGAGGACAAAGCAAAGCAGGGCC
This 1490-nucleotide long non-coding RNA is filed under the name Gallus gallus (chicken). RNAcentral describes it as "lncRNA (ENSGALG00010011324.1)". Lineage: Eukaryota; Metazoa; Chordata; Aves; Galliformes; Phasianidae. The record is from RNAcentral.